Molecule: ribosomal RNA, 253 nt
Filed under: uncultured bacterium
Lineage: Bacteria
Description: partial 16S ribosomal RNA
Rfam family: Bacterial small subunit ribosomal RNA
Source: RNAcentral
UACAGAGGUCCCAAGCGUUGUUCGGAUUCACUGGGCGUAAAGGGUGCGCAGGUGGUCGGGUAAGUCUGAUGUGAAAUCCCGCAGCUUAACUGCGGAAUGGCAUUGGAUACUAUUCGGCUAGAGGGUUGGAGGGGGGACUGGAAUUCUCGGUGUAGCAGUGAAAUGCGUAGAUAUCGAGAGGAACACCAGUGGCGAAGGCGAGUCCCUUGACAACUCCUGACGCUGAGGCACGAAAGCUAGGGGAGCAAACAGG